CAGAUGGCGCAAGUAUUGCAUGUAUUGCUUGGUUGUUCUUUACUAGUCGUUAACAAUAUUGUUUCUGGCACUGUUUCUGUUUUUGACGGGCACGGAGGGGAUACUUCAGACGACGAAAGUAUUUGAGAUGUUACAGAUGCAGACAAUUGAGGAGAUUAUAGAUAAGUAUUUUGUUGUAGA
This 180-nucleotide long non-coding RNA is filed under the name Polistes fuscatus (common paper wasp). RNAcentral describes it as "uncharacterized LOC122525622". Lineage: Eukaryota; Metazoa; Arthropoda; Insecta; Hymenoptera; Vespidae. The record is from RNAcentral.